AAUCAGAAAAGAUGUCUCUUUGUUGAACAGAAAUUCUUCAGUUAUUCAGGUGUUUCAGUUAGUCAACAGAUUGAGUCAGUGAUAUUUUGUAAAUUUUGAAGAGCCCCUACCUCCAUACUGAUCUUCUGAGUGACACCAGAAUGUAAAAGAAGAAAUUUGUGGGAAAAGCAAGUUGGACAUACAUUAGAACUGGAAUGAGUAAAUAAGAAUGUCAGCUUCUCUUUCAGAAAAGAUAUUUCUUAUUCAAACUGGACAAGCCAAGUGUCCUCAGCCUCUCCUCACAGACCAUGCCCUCCAGCCUUUUGCCAGCUUUGUUGCCCACCUCUGGAUGCUCUGAAGGACCCCAACAUCCCUUUUAUGUUGUGGAGCCCAGCACUGCACACAAUAUUCAAGAAUAAUUAGGCUGUAGGAGAACUCUGGAGUUCAACUUCAAAGGUAGAUCAGGUGCCCAGGCCCUUUAUAGAUCAAGUUUUGAGCAUCUUUCUAGACGAAGAUUUUUCUUCCAAUAUGGAUGAUGUCUGAAGAGUCAAUGAAUGACAUGCGAGCACUGCUGAUGUCCUCUGUAGUAACUGGAAGUGUCUUUAAUCAUACGUGCAUUGUGAUCUACCCAAUAUGGUGCUGGUGAUUAUUCUCUCAGCUCAAAUUGCUCGUUUUCAAGAUGUUGAGAAGCUACCACUGAAUAGACAUUUCAGGAGGUAAACUUUCCAUUUACUUUCUUGAAGAUAACCGUUUUUUUUUAAAAAUUCAAGGGGGGAAAAAAAACAACUUUUGUACAGAAACACUCACAGCCUGAUCACUUUGUAUUUUGGUUCUCAGAAGUUUUUCCAGAUCAAAUCAAUUUAGUACGUUUGAAUUUUACUAGCAACAUUUUAACAGCAGUCUUGUUUGUAAUCCUUGGUUAGCUUUCUUUUCCAUUGUAUCAAAUAUUUGUUCUCUGUCCUAGAUACAAUCUAGGAUAAAAUGUCUGGGCAAACUCUUCAUUUUUACAAUCAAAAAGAUUUAAGUGAGAAUAAAACUGAAUUGAUACAAACAGUGCAGAAUGCUUUGCACAUUGUUUAUCAUGACAAAAAAUAUUAACCUGGAACUUAGAUAGAACUGUAUUUACAUGUAGUGUCAGAUAAGAGAUGUAAGAAAGAAGAUACAAAAGGAAAUGAUCCUUAUUUCCCUUGAAGCAGUUAUAUAUCCUUGGAACUACAAAAAAUAUUUUAAGGAGUGCUUCCUCUGAAAUUAGAUAGCAGCACUGAUUUUUAUCUUGUGGAUUUUUUUGCCU
Molecule: long non-coding RNA, 1270 nt
Organism: Cygnus atratus (black swan)
Lineage: Eukaryota; Metazoa; Chordata; Aves; Anseriformes; Anatidae
Exons: 5
Source: RefSeq, a predicted model, not a curated record